Molecule: small RNA, 547 nt
Filed under: Pan troglodytes (chimpanzee)
Lineage: Eukaryota; Metazoa; Chordata; Mammalia; Primates; Hominidae
Description: retained intron
Source: RNAcentral
UUCCUAUAGGUUCUGAUUUUCCUGAAGAGGACACUGAGCAAAGAGAUCCUCUUCCGAGAGCUGGAGGUGCGACAGGUUGCCCUGAGACAUCUUAUUCACUUCCUUAAGGAAAUAGGGGAUCAAAAGUUGCUUUUAGACCUCUUCAGGUUCCUAGAUAGAACAGAAGAGCUUGCGCUAUCUCAUUAUCGAGAGCAUUUGAACAUUCAGGACCCUGACAAACGAAAAGAAUUUCUUAAAACCUGUGUUGGUUUGCCAUUUUCAGCAGAAGAUUCCGCACACAUACAGGACCAUUACACGCUCCUGGAACGUCAGAUCAUUAUUGAGGCAAAUGAUCGCCAUCUAGAAUCAGCAGGACAGACUGAGAUCUUCCGAAAGCACCCCCGCAAAGCUUCCAUCCUCAACAUGCCACUAGUGACAACGCUUUUCUACUCCUGCUUCUAUCACUACACAGAGGCUGAGGUACAGGCAAAAUAUGGAAGAUUCCACAAACUCUCAUUGCACAAAAAGAAGAUAGUUCAAAUCCAGUACUUUUAUGUACUCUCUUAAU